GACGAACGCUGGCGGCGUGCUUAACACAUGCAAGUCGAACGGUGAAGCGCCUUCCUUUUUGGUGGGUGUGGAUGAGUGGCGAACGGGUGAGUAACACGUGAGUAACCUGCCCCCUUCUUCUGGAUAACCGCAUGAAAGUGUGGCUAAUACGGGGUAUUCUGGGUCUGUCGCAUGAUGGGUCUGGGAAAGAUAUUGUUUCGGUGGGGGAUGGGCUCGCGGCCUAUCAGCUUGUUGGUGGGGUGAUGGCCUACCAAGGCGGUGACGGGUAGCCGGCCUGAGAGGGUGGACGGUCACACUGGGACUGAGACACGGCCCAGACUCCUACGGGAGGCAGCAGUGGGGAAUAUUGCACAAUGGGCGCAAGCCUGAUGCAGCGACGCCGCGUGAGGGAUGGAGGCCUUCGGGUUGUGAACCUCUUUCGCCAGUGAAGCAGGCCUGCCUCGUUUGUGGGUGGGUUGACGGUAGCUGGAGAAGAAGCGCCGGCUAACUACGUG
This 494-nucleotide ribosomal RNA is filed under the name uncultured bacterium. Its description in RNAcentral is "partial 16S ribosomal RNA". It matches the Rfam family "Bacterial small subunit ribosomal RNA", at positions 28 to 507 of the family's 1533-position model. The record is from RNAcentral.